AGGAGGAACAGGCCCAGUUGGACUACAUCUUGCAUCACACAACGAAGGCUGAGCUCCAGACUGGCAAUCACUGCUCUGCUCUACCCUCUGUGCUUCCAAGUAGAACACAGAGCCACAGCACAGAACCUGUGAGAACCUGGGGAGGUGAAAUGUGACUGGCCCACAUGUCUUCAGCCGUGGCCUUCAACCCUCCAACGUGAGCAAGAAUAAGCCUUUUCCUGCAUAUAUUGCUUUUGUCUCUGAUCACAGCAAUAAGAAAAGCAACUGGUAAACCUA
Long non-coding RNA from Mastomys coucha (southern multimammate mouse), 276 nucleotides. RefSeq lists it as uncharacterized. Lineage: Eukaryota; Metazoa; Chordata; Mammalia; Rodentia; Muridae. The record is from RefSeq and is a predicted model, not a curated record. The transcript has 2 exons.